GACGAACGCUGGCGGCGUGCCUAAUACAUGCGAGUUGAGCGAUGAAGAUUGGUGCUUGCACCAAUUUGAAGAGCAGCGAACGGGUGAGUAACGCGUGGGGAAUCUGCCUUUGAGCGGGGGACAACAUUUGGAAACGAAUGCUAAUACCGCAUAACAACUUUAAACAUAAGUUUUAAGUUUGAAAGAUGCAAUUGCAUCACUCAAAGAUGAUCCCGCGUUGUAUUAGCUAGUUGGUGAGGUAAAGGCUCACCAAGGCGAUGAUACAUAGCCGACCUGAGAGGGUGAUCGGCCACAUUGGGACUGAGACACGGCCCAAACUCCUACGGGAGGCAGCAGUAGGGAAUCUUCGGCAAUGGACGAAAGUCUGACCGAGCAACGCCGCGUGAGUGAAGAAGGUUUUCGGAUCGUAAAACUCUGUUGGUAGAGAAGAACGUUGGUGAGAGUGGAAAGCUCAUCAAGUGACGGUAACUACCCAGAAAGGGACGGCUAACUACGUGC
This 498-nucleotide ribosomal RNA is filed under the name uncultured bacterium. Its description in RNAcentral is "partial 16S ribosomal RNA". It matches the Rfam family "Bacterial small subunit ribosomal RNA", at positions 28 to 508 of the family's 1533-position model. The record is from RNAcentral.